RNAcentral lists this ribosomal RNA (497 nucleotides) under uncultured bacterium. RNAcentral's name for it is "partial 16S ribosomal RNA". It matches the Rfam family "Bacterial small subunit ribosomal RNA", at positions 28 to 507 of the family's 1533-position model. The record is from RNAcentral.
GAUGAACGCUGGCGGCGUGCCUAAUACAUGCAAGUCGAGCGAACAGACGAGGAGCUUGCUCCUCUGACGUUAGCGGCGGACGGGUGAGUAACACGUGGAUAACCUACCUAUAAGACUGGGAUAGCUUCGGGAAACCGGAGCUAAUACCGGAUAAUAUAUUGAACCGCAUGGUUCAAUAGUGAAAAACGGUUUUGCUGUCACUUAUAGAUGGAUCCGCGCCGCAUUAGCUAGUUGGUAAGGUAACGGCUUACCAAGGCAACGAUGCGUAGCCGACCUGAGAGGGUGAUCGGCCACACUGGAACUGAGACACGGUCCAGACUCCUACGGGAGGCAGCAGUAGGGAAUCUUCCGCAAUGGGCGAAAGCCUGACGGAGCAACGCCGCGUGAGUGAUGAAGGUCUUCGGAUCGUAAAACUCUGUUAUUAGGGAAGAACAAAUGUGUAAGUAACUAUGCACGUCUUGACGGUACCUAAUCAGAAAGCCACGGCUAACUACGUG